GCCUGGCUGGCUCAGUUGGUAGAGCAUGUGACUCUUGAUCGUGGGGUUGUAAGUUCAAGCCCCAUGUUGGGCA
Molecule: transfer RNA, 73 nt
Filed under: Ailuropoda melanoleuca (giant panda)
Lineage: Eukaryota; Metazoa; Chordata; Mammalia; Carnivora; Ursidae
Rfam family: tRNA
About the family: Transfer RNA (tRNA) molecules are approximately 80 nucleotides in length. Their secondary structure includes four short double-helical elements and three loops (D, anti-codon, and T loops).
Source: Rfam by way of RNAcentral